RNAcentral lists this ribosomal RNA (3043 nucleotides) under Triticum aestivum (bread wheat). RNAcentral's name for it is "partial small subunit ribosomal RNA". The record is from RNAcentral. Lineage: Eukaryota; Viridiplantae; Streptophyta; Magnoliopsida; Poales; Poaceae.
AGCACACUAUUACCAUUGUCACAUCGUGUACUGAAACUUGAACUGACUGGCGACCCGGGGUGGAGCGGCGCCUUCUAAGAUCGGGGAGCCCUCUUCCGAGUCACUGAGCGGCCGCUCUACUAGCACAGCCGCGAGCGCUGCCGCCACCCGCAGUUGGACCCGGACUGGCACGACGAGCAGAGGCGGAUGAGCGAGGAGGCGGCGGCGGGCGGCAAGCAGAGGCACAUGCGGGGGGCGGCGGGGAUGCGCGGCGAGCUCAGGACCGAGCGGCGGCGCACCGCGGCGAGGCUCCUGCUGUAGGUGCGGCGGCGCCCCGAGCUGCCGCAGCAGAAGCAGGCGUAAAAGCAGAAGUCGUAGUCCGAAAAGCGGCAUCAGCGACACCACCCGCAGCCGCACGAGUACGGCUAUUUGAAGUACCCCCUGGUCGACGCCGACUAGCUGAAGUGGCUGGACGGGUCGUUCAGGCAGCUACAGAACUCGUAGAGGUUACAGGACCUGCCCAGGUUGUUUAAUACCGAAGUGAAGAGACGACACAUGUAGUAUUGACCUCAGCGUACGAUGGACGAGAUAAUACUCAUGUCUAUAUAAAGACCGUUCUCCGAGCUCAUAAAAUACUGUAGCUUCGGUGAUGGAGUCAUAAAGUGUCAAGACCAAGCUCGAUAGGGAUAUUGACUACCACCAAGACACUCACUACGACAACUAUUCAAGAAGUUUCUCAUAGUAAGUAGGUGGAUGAACAGUGUAUGACAACAAGUAGUUUGACCGUUUGAGGCGGCGGAAGAAUUACUCUGGCUUUAAUACACCUGUUUCGAUUUCUUGGAUUUUAUACAUGGUGUUGCUGGAAGAUGACUGUUGGGAGGUUUUUUCAAAGAACCUGAUAAACCUUCUUUAUUAGGAUAACCCUUUAUAGUCUUUUCCGACCUUCUGGAUCUCCUUUUACAAUCUUACCUUGUUAGUCUACGAUGAUCCUCUGCCCUCUAAGGGCGACGAAAACAAAGUAAGUUUAGAGCUAUACGAAGUCGCUUACGUUAAAUGUAUUCCGUCAGUCUGUUAGGUUGACUCACCGUUUGACUCGUACGAGGACUAGGAGUACUACAAAUAACCGGAAGGAAAAGAUGUAGUAAGUACCUUGCCACCUAUAGGUUUAAACAUCAUAAACAUCGAAGUCAAGAGGACUAUUAGCACAAAGAAGAUCAACACCCUAAAUAAGUUCCCGAGUGAAUAUACCUCGUUGAACUCCGUACCGACGGAAAGGACUCCUUGUAUGACCUUUAUCGGUAACAGUCAGUUAACCAAUGACCCAUAGAAGGGUCACAGUAAGAAGUGAAGGAAAGGAGAAUACACGGGAGUUAUUACUUCGAUAAAAGCUGGUACGUUCCUAAACACAGACAGUCACCCUAACUCUCUUCACGAACGUUGUUUUACGAAGCCAAAUGGUAUACCUGACACAAGAAACGUUUACAAGAAUGACCGAGUCGGAAUUUAGUUGAAUUGUAUAAGCAACUAGGUUUCUUUUAUGGACUUGCCGAACGCCAACAACAUGGACGUGUCCGUAGAAAGAAAUAACGUAUACACCACUGAAGCACCUGUUCAUAUUGUAGUCUUGAGUGAGUUUGAAGACGGGAAGACAUAGUGAACACCCCCUCGACGCGUUUCACAACGUUCUCCCUUCUGAGUCUUCGAGGUAGCUACGUGAUAGUAUCACUUUAAGGAGCCUAAGAGAACAAACCUGAAGAGCCCGAGUGCAUGAGGUAACAUCGAGGUGAAUAGGAGGGUAAACACAACUGAAUGAAGACGGAACCGAUGAAGUAUAAAGCGUUAGUCGAAACAUUACACAUACGUGGGUUCAUACUGUGGCCACCUUCUAAAACCGGGUAACACGUGUUACGUUGGUAUAAAAGAGAACACGACUACGUAAACUAAAGUUAGCCUCAUAAACCUCAUUUCCUUAAAGGUGAACCAAGUUCAGACGACCACGGAGACGGCUAAGAGUGUGAAGACAAGAUACGUAUGACACCUUUGGCUAAAAUGGGGUAGAAGCUUCGUAUGAGAUGGCUCAGUAACCAUUUGUUUCUAUAUGUUCUUGUUUCGUUUGGUCUCUACCGUCUCAAGAAGUCGUCAGAACUUUGUCGGAUGACACUGGGUCGUGACUUCGGAUAGGUCGCCAGAAGCUUGAGACUACUUGCAUGAAGUGGUGAGAACAGAAGACAGAUCUAGGUCUGUUCAGUAUCCACCGUAGGACCGAGGGUGCCACACUCUAAAAACAAACUAAAACCCAAAAACUACUAGUCCAUGUAUAUUGUCAUGUCCACACGAAGAACAACACAAAAAAAUGUGCCACUUCGUUUUGAAUCCUGUACUUAGGAACAUAAUAAUACAACAUGUAAAAAGAAAUCCUGUAUUUAGGAACAUAAUAACACAACAUAUAAAAAGAACCUCCUCAAACGACACGUAUAAAAACACAUAGUCUAAACCACGAGCGAAACAUCUCUACUUAUUAUGUAAAAGAGAAUUCAAAACCCAACCGUUACGUUUGACAAACUUGGCUGGUACGUUCAACAUCUAGAAUUCAAGGUACGUUGGAUGAAUGACAGAGAAGAUUGAUACACAAAUACACCUAUAACAAAAUGAGGCAUAUUAAGUCAUAUACUCUAAAAGACGGUGAACCUCGUUACACUAGUCCUCGACGACAAAAAGGAGGAAGUCAGGAAGAAUUCACGUAAAUUUAUACCGGCGAGACCCAUAUAAAUACUAUGAAGUUGCAGUUCCAACUCAAAGAGAUUUGUGUUUUCGGACGAUGCCACACCUUGGCUAGUCCCACGCCGCAAGACGUGGGUAUAAGACAAUAAUGGGUCAAUAUGCGACUCCAGUCAACUGUUCGAGUAUGAUGAGACGUAAGUGUAACCGAAACUUUUACAGAACCGUUGUGUUUUGGCAUGACAAAGUUGGACCGGUCCACAAUAAAAAAAAGAGUUGCCGAGAGUCUACAUGGGUUGUUUCUAUACGAACGUAGUCAACUAGCAUGAGGCAGCAGUUUUACCGG